UUCAUGUCCUGUAAUAGUGUGUGUAUAUAUUGCCUUGCUAUAGACAGCUGGCCUGUUCAAUAAAGAAAAACAUGCUGCCAGCAAGUCAUCAGCAAUGAAGAUGUACCUCAUUCCUUUCACACUUUGGAUUUCAACAUUGACACACCCUGUGUUUGCUACAGUAUAUAGACAGUAAACAGGCAAGACUCUAACUCACUGUGCAGAACUGUCUGAAGUAAUACUGACAAAUAUAUAGCAGCUUAUCCAUACUCUGCUCAGGAUGGUACAAAUGCCGGAUGGGAUAUAUUAUAAAUUCACAGAUGGAAAGAAAACCUCGGAAUUCUUUAUACCAACUACGAUAGUUUUAAACAUUCUGGACGUUUUCCUAGGGGUGGUCAGGCUGCUUUUAAAACUUCACAAAAUAGAAGAAUGAACUACAGGACUCACGUCAAUAAAUUCCAACGUGUCAAGAAGACAAACAAAAUAUAAGUUGGAUACUAUGAAGUUAGUUUCCAUAUUCAAUCAAGCGUUAGCCUUAGUUUUAAUGUGAUUGGAACAGUUAAAAUGGCACUAAAUAAAUUUACCUACAUUAACUACACUGCUUUUUACCUUUUUUAUCCAAUAAUUUCUAUUUUAGUUGUCUCUGCAACGACUACUGUUAAACACGGGUUAUUUUUAACCUCCAGCU
Molecule: long non-coding RNA, 667 nt
Organism: Betta splendens (Siamese fighting fish)
Lineage: Eukaryota; Metazoa; Chordata; Actinopteri; Anabantiformes; Osphronemidae
Exons: 3
Source: RefSeq, a predicted model, not a curated record